UAGGGAAUAUUGGUAAUGUGCGAAAGCGCGAUCCAGCAACGCCGCGUGCACGAUGAAGGCCUUCGGGUCGUAAAGUGCUUUUAGAGAGGAUGAGGAAGGACAGUACUUUCUGAAUAAGCCUCGGCUAACUACGUGCCAGCAGCCGCGGUAAAACGUAGGAGGCAAGCGUUAUCCGGAUUUACUGGGCGUAAAGCGCAUGCAGGUGGUUUUGUAAGUUGGAUGUGAAAGCUCCUGGCUUAACUGGGAGAGGUCGUUCAAAACUACAAGACUUGAGAUUGGUAGAGGAAAAUGGAAUUCCGGGUGUAGUGGUGAAAUGCGUAGAUAUCCGGAGGAACACCAGUGGCGAAAGCGGUUUUCUGGACCAAUUCUGACACUCAGAUGCGAAAGCUAAGGUAGCAAACG
This 402-nucleotide ribosomal RNA is filed under the name uncultured bacterium. Its description in RNAcentral is "bacterial SSU rRNA". It matches the Rfam family "Bacterial small subunit ribosomal RNA", at positions 355 to 774 of the family's 1533-position model. The record is from RNAcentral.